CCCAAAGAUGAUGAUGAUCUGAUUGAUUGCCUCCUUGCCUGGUUUGCAUCAGUAAAGAACAUCAGGUAAAAUUCCAGAUAUAUUUA
This 86-nucleotide small nucleolar RNA is filed under the name Echinops telfairi (small Madagascar hedgehog). RNAcentral describes it as "Small nucleolar RNA Z247 (ENSETEG00000025801.1)". The record is from RNAcentral. Lineage: Eukaryota; Metazoa; Chordata; Mammalia; Afrosoricida; Tenrecidae.